This 460-nucleotide ribosomal RNA is filed under the name uncultured bacterium. RNAcentral's name for it is "partial 16S ribosomal RNA". It matches the Rfam family "Bacterial small subunit ribosomal RNA", at positions 338 to 795 of the family's 1533-position model. The record is from RNAcentral.
CCUACGGGAGGCAGCAGUGAGGAAUAUUGGUCAAUGGACGAGAGUCUGAACCAGCCAAGUAGCGUGAAGGAUGACUGCCCUACGGGUUGUAAACUUCUUUUAUAUGGGAAUAAAAUGGUCCACGUGUGGGUUUUUGUAUGUACCAUAUGAAUAAGGAUCGGCUAACUCCGUGCCAGCAGCCGCGGUAAUACGGAGGAUCCGAGCGUUAUCCGGAUUUAUUGGGUUUAAAGGGAGCGUAGAUGGAUUGUUAAGUCAGUUGUGAAAGUUUGCGGCUCAACCGUAAAAUUGCAGUUGAUACUGGCAGUCUUGAGUACAGUAGAGGUAGGCGGAAUUCGUGGUGUAGCGGUGAAAUGCUUAGAUAUCACGAAGAACUCCGAUUGCGAAGGCAGCUCACUGGACUGCAACUGACAUUGAUGCUCGAAAGUGUGGGUAUCAAACAGGAUUAGAUACCCUUGUAGUC